AAAAAAAAAAAAAAAAUAAGAAUUAAAGUCAGAACCCUCUUCUCAGAAUUGCUCCAUGAACACACUAGAAAGCAAUAAAUAAAGAAAGAAGCAAAAUUAAAACAUACACCAGUAGAUUUCAGUAGCAAUCUAAUUAUAAUAAUAAACCUGGGCCAGAGGCCUAAACACACAUAUGCAUAUGACAGAUGCCCAGCUUGGAGCAGCAGCAGCAGGCACUAAUCAUAUGUACACCAUCACAAAAGCCAAAGAAAAAUAGAUAGAUAUGAUAUAGUCUGACUCGCCCUUGUAAAAGUUUCCUCGAUGCCCAACUCGCUUGAAGCUAGCCAAGAGAGAUUUUCCAGAGGAACAGAAAAUGCCAAAGGAUCGAAGUUGCCCUAUAAGAGAGAAACCGCCCUUGAGAAGGCGAUUCAGGUUCAUUUCUUCGAACACCUCCCAUUACUUCCACAAUUCUUGAUAAAUUUUUACACUACACGAACCACAACUUUCUUGACGACCACCUCAUAUCUGUUUAUUUAUUCUUGAGCAAGUAUAAGAGAGGUGGCCGUCCGGAGAGUGAAAGAGUCACAUAAUGGGAAGGUGUUAGUGCCGGUGCUAAGAGGGUUUGAACAUGAAGCUUGUGCUGGUUGUUAUAGGUUUUAAUUUCUCUGUCUGGGUCAGGAGGGCAAUAAAGAUUGAGAUGACUUAAGUAGUAGUGUGUGGUCACUUUUGGUUAAAAAGGAAAGCAAAAAAGAAAAGAAAAAGUAGGGAGAGUGCAAUGGAGGUUUCAUGUUUCAGCAUCUUCCAUAGGAUAUGCCAUUGCCACCUCAUUUCCUGUACAUCUAAUGAGAACAACUGCUCCUUUCCAUUAACUCUUUUUUCCAUCAAAUUUUCCUUUAAG
Molecule: unclassified non-coding RNA, 877 nt
Filed under: Hevea brasiliensis (rubber tree)
Lineage: Eukaryota; Viridiplantae; Streptophyta; Magnoliopsida; Malpighiales; Euphorbiaceae
Source: RNAcentral